GGAACAAAAGGCGGGACAGAAAUAUGCACAUCUCAUAAGAACUCUAUACUCAUAUGAUGACUGACAGGAACACUUAUGUGUACUACACUGGUGGGUCAGGCCAGUCUGGCUAGCUAACGUUGUCCAGAGCGUUAUCUAGCUAGCCAUUCCAAGUGAGUCAACUCUCAGUCCAAAAUGGCGACGACAAAAAGACGGAAGUCGUAGCAGGCAGGGAGCUGGGCAUGGGCUGAAUCAGGACAGCCAAAACGGUCCGAGGCCCUGUCAUCACCAUUCUGGAGACAUUCCUGUAGUCCAAGUAGAGGACACACUGUCCAUUCACCUGGCAAACAAACUGGCGCACCUAAAAAAAGAUGAUGUAAACAGCUGCUGCAGGGCUUCCUCGGUCAACAGCCUGCACAUAACAGGGAGCCGUGCCUCUGACAACAAAGCCCCAGCCAAGGGCAUCUCCUAUCACCUGUGAUGGCCGAAAGGGAUUGCAUACCACUGAGGUCGAAGACACCUGGACAAAAGGUGGAAAUCCAGCAGAGUGAAGCUGAAGGGAAUUCAAGCUGCUUCGACGCCCACUGGUAACCUGUUUCAGAUCUUUACUUGACCCCACUGUAAUUAAAUGAGUAGGAAAAGUAUUAUGCGAUCAUAAGCAUUUACAACAAAG
Etheostoma cragini (Arkansas darter) is the source of this 652-nucleotide long non-coding RNA. RefSeq lists it as uncharacterized. Lineage: Eukaryota; Metazoa; Chordata; Actinopteri; Perciformes; Percidae. The transcript is spliced from 4 exons. The record is from RefSeq and is a predicted model, not a curated record.